CCAACAGGGAUUGCCUCAGUAACGGCGAGUGAAGCGGCAACAGCUCAAAUUUGAAAUCUGGCCUCAUGGCCCGAGUUGUAAUUUGUAGAGGGUGUCUCGGGCGCGACGCCGGUCUAAGUUCCUUGGAACAGGACGUCACAGAGGGUGAGAAUCCCGUACGUGACCGGCCGUCAACCCCAUGUGAGACCCCUUCGACGAGUCGAGUUGUUUGGGAAUGCAGCUCUAAAUGGGUGGUAAAUUUCAUCUAAAGCUAAAUACCGGCCAGAGACCGAUAGCGCACAAGUAGAGUGAUCGAAAGAUGAAAAGCACUUUGGAAAGAGAGUUAAACAGUACGUGAAAUUGUUGAAAGGGAAGCGCUUGCAACCAGACUUGCCCGCGGGUGAUCAGCCGUCCUUCGGGGCGGUGCACUCUCCCGCGAUCAGGCCAGCAUCGGUUUCGGCGGCCAGAUAAAGACUUUCGGGAACGUGGCUCCCUCCGGGGAGUGUUAUAGCCCGUCGUGCCAUGUGGUCAGCCGGGACCGAGGACCGCGCUUCGGCUAGGAUGCUGGCGUAAUGGUUGUCAGCGACCCGUCUUGAAACACGGACCAAGGAGUCUAACAUCUAUGCGAGUGUUUGGGUGUCAAACCCAUGCGCGUAAUGAAAGUGAACGGAGGUGGGAACCCGUUACGGGGGCACCAUCGACCGAUCCUGAUGUCUUCGGAUGGAUUUGAGUACGAGCAUAGCUGUUGGGACCCGAAAGAUGGUGAACUAUGCGUGUGUAGGGUGAAGCCAGGGGAAACCCUGGUGGAGGCUCGCAGCGGUUCUGACGUGCAAAUCGAUCGUCAAACAUGCGUAUAGGGGCGAAAGACU
RNAcentral lists this ribosomal RNA (848 nucleotides) under Trapeliopsis granulosa. RNAcentral describes it as "eukaryotic LSU rRNA". It matches the Rfam family "Eukaryotic large subunit ribosomal RNA", at positions 65 to 932 of the family's 3401-position model. The record is from RNAcentral. Lineage: Eukaryota; Fungi; Ascomycota; Lecanoromycetes; Trapeliales; Trapeliaceae.